RNAcentral lists this ribosomal RNA (188 nucleotides) under uncultured bacterium. RNAcentral's name for it is "partial 16S ribosomal RNA". It matches the Rfam family "Bacterial small subunit ribosomal RNA", at positions 1306 to 1500 of the family's 1533-position model. The record is from RNAcentral.
UGCAACUCGACUCCAUGAAGCUGGAUUCGCUAGUAAUCGCGCAUCAGCCAUGGCGCGGUGAAUACGUUCCCGGGCCUUGUACACACCGCCCGUCAAGCCAUGGGAGUCGGGAGUGCCUGAAGUUCGUGACCGUUUAGGAGCGACCUAGGGCAAGACUGAUGACUGGGGCUAAGUCGUAACAAGGUACC